This is a long non-coding RNA of Corvus hawaiiensis (hawaiian crow), 1758 nucleotides long. RefSeq lists it as uncharacterized. The record is from RefSeq and is a predicted model, not a curated record. NCBI's taxonomy places the organism in Eukaryota, Metazoa, Chordata, Aves, Passeriformes, Corvidae. The transcript is spliced from 2 exons.
UCGGCUCCGCGCCCCCCGAUCGCUCUUGUGCGGGAUCCCCCACGCUGGCCGGGGGAUGGCCCGCGGUGCCGGACUCCGGCCUGGCCCUGGCCCCCAGAGCGCAGCGGGAAGCGGUCGUUUGGUCCCAGACAUCGGCGUUCGGUCUGAUUAGCUUCCGCGGCUGACCGGGGCCGGCGGCGGGUCGUCCCCGGCCGGAGGAUGCUGCUGCCGGGAACAGGAGGGGACGUGGAGGCCCCGGGCGUGCCGGAGUCACGGCAGGCCGGAGGCGGGGGUUCCGGCCCCCUUGCUGCCCCCAGCCCUGGCGCGGCUUUCCCGGGGGUCGAAGCCUCCGCGCCGUAGAGGCUUCGCCCUGUUGCUCUCGGCAGCUCGCGAGGUUUACCGCCGGCCGCUCUCCCACGGGGCCCGGACGUUUCCAGGAAUUGCAAGAAAAAUCCUGGAGAAAAAGCCGUGUUGUCACCAGAGUGCCGGUCAUCUGAGAGAGGGGAAAUUCCUUGGAAAUGGCCUUAUCGCAGACCUCGGAGUUAAAAACCGGGGAAAAAACAGAGAAAAUGCUACGCUUUGAAUACUUCAUUUAAAUACGAAAUAGGACAACUCACACUCCUCGACAGCCUUCCAGAAAGGAGCAGGAAGACUGUCUUAACUGGGAAGUAUAAUCUAUCUGGGAUCAGAAAAGGAACAACGUUUCUUUAAGGGAAGUGUCACUUCCAGAUGCAAAAAAGGAAACAGCUGCCUGCUUCAGACAUCAAAUAGGAGCUACACCCAUCCAGAAAUGAGAUCAAUUUUGGACUAUGAAACUCAAAAUGUGUCUUUCAAAUUGGAAUGGCUGCUCUGCCUGAGCAGGGGGAUAGUCACUGCAGUUAACAAAGGCAUCUUAAUUGCUUCUUCUCCUCCAGAAAAAAGUAUUAAUUAGUGGAAGAAUGGGAUAUCUUCAUUAUGUGUGAGAUAGUUGCAGAGCUUUGGAUCUCUCCCUAUUUUAAAGACUAAGAAGUACUUGAAUAUCAUAGAUAUUUGUUGCACCCUAUUUUAGACGAAAGUGUGUCAGCUUUCAGAAAAUCUUGCCCUUAAGUCCUUACACCUCUCCACGUAUAUUUACAGCAAAAGGAAUUUGAAAAGGUUGGGAACUGUAUAUCCUGAACACUGUAGCUCUAUAAAUAUGAUGGCAAUGAUACUGCCCAAUGGAAUGAACAACACGUAAAGACAUUUUAAAGCAUUGUUUUAAACAUUAUUCACCUGGACAUCCUUUAUUACUAUCUCUACAUCUCACUGAACAGUUACGGUGUUGGGUGGACUUACGAAUCCACAUGCAUAAGCAAGGGGAUGUCUCUCCAUCAUUAAAAUUCUCAUUUUCAUCCCUUCUCUCACGCCGCUGAUAUGGUAAACACAAGCAAGUGUAAUCUUCUAUGAAAGUGUCUUUCCUUGAAAGGAUCUUUUUCCUUUUUAAGACAAGCAAACCAGACAUUUUUGUGGGUGCUGGGGGUAGAAGUGGAGACUUAAGCUUAACAUAUAGGAUAAAUAUAGAAGAAGUAGAGAAAAGAGAAAGUAUCUGGCGCGUGGUUACAACUUAGGCUAAAUAAAUUCCAGUGGUUACUCAAACUAAAAGUUUUGGGGUUUGUUUUUUUUUUUGGUGGGUUGUUUUGUUUUGUUUUUAUGAUAGCAAACUAAACAGACUGUCAUCGAAUCUGAGAGCGCCUUUGAUGCAGAGGCCGUGCUGAGACUGAAGAGGAAACCCAUAAAUGAAAUAAAGUCUCUGGGAAAUUG